GGGAGGGCAUGGCGGUGGCCGUGCCGGGCGCCAUCAUGGACGAGGACUACUACGGGAGCGCGGCCGAGUGGGGCGACGAGGCUGACGGCGGCCAGCAGGAGGAUGAUUCUGGAGAAGGAGAGGAUGAUGCGGAGGUUCAGCAAGAAUGCCUGCAUAAAUUUUCCACCCGGGAUUAUAUCAUGGAACCCUCCAUCUUCAACACUCUGAAGAGGUAUGUGAGAAAGGUGUCUGUAUUGGGAGGAGGCUGGGGGUAAUUUAGAGAAAGUUUUGUAAUACACCCAGAAGGUGCUAUGUAAAGCAAGAGUAAUGCGAACUGAACUAAAGGCUUCAAGGGGGGGUCCCCUCUGCCACUUUUUUUUUUUUUUUAAUUUUUUUAAGACAGAGUCUUGCUCUGUUGCAGUGGCACAAUCACCGCUCACUGCAGCUUCAGCCUCCUGGAAUCAAGCAGUUCUCCCACCUCAGCCUCGCAAGGUGGCCACCACAGGCGUCUGCCAUCAUGCCUGGCUAUUUUUGUUUUUGUUUUUUGGGAGAGACAGGGCUCCUUACGUUGCCCUGGCUGCUCUUGAACUCCUAGGCUCAAGUGAUUCUCCCACCUCUGCCUCCCAAAGUGCUGGGAUUACAGGUGUGCACUACUGCACCCAGCCCCCUCCGCUGCUUUAAAAAUUUUGAAACCUUAUUCUCUUCCUCCUUCCUUACCUUCCUGUUGUCCAUCAUUCCAUUCAUUCGGGUGUAAUUGCUGCUUUGUUACUUUCCCUAGGUAUUUUC
Molecule: small RNA, 765 nt
Filed under: Pan troglodytes (chimpanzee)
Lineage: Eukaryota; Metazoa; Chordata; Mammalia; Primates; Hominidae
Description: retained intron
Source: RNAcentral